UACGGAGGGUGCGAGCGUUGUCCGGAUUUAUUGGGUUUAAAGGGUGCGUAGGCGGCUCCUUAAGUCCGGGGUGAAAGCCCGUUGCUCAACAACGGAACUGUCCUGGAUACUGAGGAGCUUGAGUACAGACGAGGUUGGCGGAAUGGACAGAGUAGCGGUGAAAUGCAUAGAUACUGUCCAGAACCCCGAUUGCGAAGGCAGCUGACUAGGCUGUUACUGACGCUGAGGCACGACAGCGUGGGGAGCGAUCAGG
This 253-nucleotide ribosomal RNA is filed under the name uncultured bacterium. RNAcentral's name for it is "partial 16S ribosomal RNA". It matches the Rfam family "Bacterial small subunit ribosomal RNA", at positions 524 to 776 of the family's 1533-position model. The record is from RNAcentral.